Non-coding RNA from Pelobates cultripes (western spadefoot toad), 402 nucleotides. Lineage: Eukaryota; Metazoa; Chordata; Amphibia; Anura; Pelobatidae. The record is from the annotation of a GenBank genome assembly.
CAUGAUGUGCAGUCUGCUUAAAAUUGGUUAAGAUGUCAGCUGUUUGAAAUUUUUAACUUGUACACUUAAAAGAUGUGUACAACAGAUGAUUACAGAAGCUGAAAAUUGACAGCUCGAUCUCCUCUUAAAGGGAACACCUACGGCACAGAGCAAAUGGGGGAAAUCGAGGUGAAGAAAUAAUGAAAGUCCCGCAGACGUGAUUAGCACGUCUGAAUAUACCUCCUUUGGUUUCUCUGCCGCAGGCCUCCCAUGGAUAUUCCGUAAGGUAGAUCAUGAUAUGAUCUAAGAGGGGAAUUGUAGAUGCGAAUAUCCAUUAUGCUCAAUAUCCUAGCUGUUCAUAUAAGGGUUAAUUUGACCCAAGAAUAAAUUUGGAAUUGUAUCUCCAAUUCUCGGAAAUAAAAC